GCGGAAGUAGUUCAGUGGUAGAACAUCACCUUGCCAAGGGGGGGGUCGCGGGUUCGAAUCCCGUCUUCCGCUCCA
Molecule: transfer RNA, 75 nt
Filed under: Bacillus amyloliquefaciens XH7
Lineage: Bacteria; Bacillati; Bacillota; Bacilli; Caryophanales; Bacillaceae
Description: tRNA-Gly (GCC) (tRNA-Gly-GCC-2-1)
Rfam family: tRNA
About the family: Transfer RNA (tRNA) molecules are approximately 80 nucleotides in length.
Source: RNAcentral